CGGCACAGGAGGGGGAUUAACCCGUUCCUAGCAUGGCCAAGGGGAGGUCAGGCAUGCAGAAGUUAAGCAGUCACAAGUUUCGCUCCUCCACUGCUGGUGCACUCAGUCUUGCAUCACAUCACCGCGACUUCCCACAUCCAUAGUUCGCUUGGCCCAGAUCACUCCCUAGAAGAGCCGAGGGAUGGGACAGCGGAUGGGACAGCACGGGGCGAUUCCUCCUGGGGUUUGGCAGCGCUCGGCUCUCCCAGCUCCCUUCUCAUGGUCUUGUAACGGGAGGGGAGUCACUCCAGUCAGGCUGAUCUUCAUUUCUAGAGCAUUUUCCUUAGCAGGCGCAUGUCAUGACUCCCGUUAGGGACAUCAGAGCUGUCCUAUUGGCAUAUAGACUCUCACGUGUGUCGUGCUUUCUGUUUUCUUCACCCAGGUGUUUUGACGCAGCCUCCUCUGCUCCGAAACACUUCCUGGAAAAGGCAGAGCCCCUGAGGCAUCCCUCCCCGCAGCAUCCUCCGUUUGCCUCUGCCGGCUAAACAAGACGGAGCCUCUCGCACCUAAACAUCUGCGGUUCCUCCUCGAACGGCGGACGUGCGCCCGCUCGCUCAGCGCUCACAUCUGGCUGAGAGCGCACCAGCCGGGCUGAGGAAAGCAUCCAGCCCCUGGACUUUCACCUCCUACAUUGGGGCGGCCGGUCAGAGUUGUCCCAUAUGGGACAGCAUGGACAGUCGCGCUGUUUUUUAAGACCCUAGAAAAAAACCCGUGCGACAUUAACCCCGCAAGACACAAGCAAGCGCACAAGAUGCUGAAGGCAAGGUUACUGCAGCCUUCUCUGCAGCCCCGGCCCAGCUGCAUCGGGCCCACGAAGCCCAGCCAGCGCUCCUAUGGCUUCGAGACUCCCAAAGUGGAUGCAGGAGAGGGCUGUGGUUGUCAGAUGCUGCAGCCGGAGAAAGAGAAGCUGAAUCCCCAGCCAUCGGGAAGCAUUGGGCCUUCUCGCCUGCAGGCCCAGGAGGAAAAGGAGCCCGGGAGAACGAAUGGAGACCUGCUGGUGCCCAGGCUGGCGUCCUCUGGCAGGUGCUCGAGCCUGGGGGAAGCCGCGGGGUCUGUGGCGGACCUGCCCCGCUCUGAGCCAAGCCAAGAGUGGAAGGUGGUGAAGGUUCAACGCGUCCUCAUUUCUCCCGUGGGCCAGCCAAGGAAAGCAACUCAGUUCUCUUUGGGAAUUCCCAGUAUCGCAGAACCAGCUGGGUCUUUUGCUCCCUGGCUAGGAAGCAUCCCUCAUCUUACAUUUCCUAGCUCUUUUGGGGGCAUUGCAUUUGGGAAGGCCAACUGGAAAUGCUUUCAAGGUGCCUGA
RNAcentral lists this long non-coding RNA (1339 nucleotides) under Crocodylus porosus (Australian saltwater crocodile). RNAcentral describes it as "lncRNA (ENSCPRG00005012597.1)". Lineage: Eukaryota; Metazoa; Chordata; Crocodylia; Crocodylidae. The record is from RNAcentral.